This 597-nucleotide ribosomal RNA is filed under the name Triticum aestivum (bread wheat). RNAcentral's name for it is "partial small subunit ribosomal RNA". Lineage: Eukaryota; Viridiplantae; Streptophyta; Magnoliopsida; Poales; Poaceae. The record is from RNAcentral.
AUGGACGCACGUGCCGGCACCCCAUUCACCCCAUCCUACAACCGCGACCCCUCCACCGCCGCCGCAAACCCUAGCACGGGGAGCGUUGGCCUUAGCUCCUCCGAGCAUCGGCCUCGCGCGCGGCCUCUUCAUGCCGCCGUAGAUGACCUCGGCGGCGGGUGGCGUCGCGCCGGCGCCGCCCCGUGCCGCCGCCCCUCCUCGAAGCUCCCCAAUGCGGCGCGGCCGAAGAAGGGCAAGACAUCCGCGAAGAAGAACAAGGCGUCGGACGGCUCCGGCACCUCGAAGGCGAGGAGGAAGAAGCUUGCAGGGCGUGUGACGGGCGCGGCGGCUACCGAAGCGCCGGCGAGCUCACUCGUUGAGCCGGCGGCCGACGCGCACAACGUGUUCAACGAUAUGCCCCAAAGUCUCAACAAUGGUGCAUACAUGUCAAUUAUGGGUGUUGGCUCCAACAAUUCGCAUUGGUCUCAAAUCAAUGACAUGCAUUUCGAAGACCAUGAGUUCGAGGUGGACGAGGAUGGUGAGGGCAUUGUCGACGCGCCGAAAGGAAGAGCGGGCAAUUACACCAACGCCGAAGACAUCUUACUAUGCAAUACUUAG